RNAcentral lists this ribosomal RNA (218 nucleotides) under uncultured bacterium. RNAcentral describes it as "partial 16S ribosomal RNA". It matches the Rfam family "Bacterial small subunit ribosomal RNA", at positions 1283 to 1500 of the family's 1533-position model. The record is from RNAcentral.
CAGUCUCAGUUCGGAUUGAAGGCUGAAAUUCGCCUUCAUGAAGCCGGAAUUGCUAGUAAUGGCAGGUCAGCAUACUGCCGUGAAUACGUUCCCGGGCCUUGUACACACCGCCCGUCACACCAUGAGAGUUGGGAAUACCCGAAGCCUGUGAGCUAACUGUAAAGAGGCAGCAGUCGAAGGUAGAAUCAAUGAUUGGGGUGAAGUCGUAACAAGGUAAC